GGCUGGUCCAAAGGUAGUGAGUUACCACGAUCGAUUGUUUAUAGUCAGUUACAGAUUGAACUCUUUCUCCCUGUUUCACUACUGCAUUUGACUCAUUUAAA
RNAcentral lists this Y RNA (101 nucleotides) under Carlito syrichta (Philippine tarsier). RNAcentral's name for it is "Y RNA (ENSTSYG00000020933.2)". It matches the Rfam family "Y RNA". From Rfam's summary of the family: Y RNAs are components of the Ro ribonucleoprotein particle (Ro RNP), in association with Ro60 and La proteins. The Y RNAs and Ro60 and La proteins are well conserved, but the function of the Ro RNP is not known. Lineage: Eukaryota; Metazoa; Chordata; Mammalia; Primates; Tarsiidae. The record is from Rfam by way of RNAcentral.